RNAcentral lists this ribosomal RNA (253 nucleotides) under uncultured bacterium. RNAcentral's name for it is "partial 16S ribosomal RNA". It matches the Rfam family "Bacterial small subunit ribosomal RNA", at positions 524 to 776 of the family's 1533-position model. The record is from RNAcentral.
UACGAAGGGUGCAAGCGUUACUCGGAAUUACUGGGCGUAAAGCGCGUGUAGGCGGCCAUCUAAGUCGGGCGUGAAAUCCCACGGCUCAACCGUGGAAGUGCACUCGAAACUGGAUGGCUAGAGUCCUGGAGAGGAAGGUGGAAUGCUUGGUGUAGAGGUGAAAUUCGUAGAUAUCAAGCGGAACACCGGUGGCGAAGGCGGCCUUCUGGACAGUGACUGACGCUGAGACGCGAAAGCGUGGGGAGCAAACAGG